This 821-nucleotide ribosomal RNA is filed under the name uncultured bacterium. RNAcentral describes it as "bacterial SSU rRNA". It matches the Rfam family "Bacterial small subunit ribosomal RNA", at positions 62 to 872 of the family's 1533-position model. The record is from RNAcentral.
UCGACGGCAGCACAGCAGAGCUUGCUCUGUGGGUGGCGAGUGGCGGACGGGUGAGUAAUGCAUCGGGACCUACCCAGACGUGGGGGAUAACCUCGGGAAACCGGGACUAAUACCGCAUACGUCCUACGGGAGAAAGCGGGGGAUCUUCGGACCUCGCGCGGUUGGACGGACCGAUGUGCGAUUAGCUAGUUGGUAGGGUAAAGGCCUACCAAGGCGACGAUCGCUAGCUGGUCUGAGAGGAUGAUCAGCCACACUGGGACUGAGACACGGUCCAGACUCCUACGGGAGGCAGCAGUGGGGAAUAUUGGACAAUGGGCGCAAGCCUGAUCCAGCAAUGCCGCGUGUGUGAAGAAGGCCUUCGGGUUGUAAAGCACUUUUAUCAGGAACGAAAUACCACGGGUCAAUAACCGGUGGGGCUGACGGUACCUGAGGAAUAAGCACCGGCUAACUUCGUGCCAGCAGCCGCGGUAAUACGAAGGGUGCAAGCGUUAAUCGGAAUUACUGGGCGUAAAGGGUGCGUAGGCGGUUCGUUAAGUCUGUUGUGAAAUCCCCGGGCUCAACCUGGGAAUGGCAAUGGAUACUGGCGAGCUAGAGUGUGUCAGAGGAUGGUGGAAUUUCCGGUGUAGCGGUGAAAUGCGUAGAGAUCGGAAGGAACAUCAGUGGCGAAGGCGGCCAUCUGGGACAACACUGACGCUGAAGCACGAAAGCGUGGGGAGCAAACAGGAUUAGAUACCCUGGUAGUCCACGCCCUAAACGAUGCGAACUGGAUGUUGGUCUCAACUCGGAGAUCAGUGUCGAAGCUAACGCGUUAAGUUCGCCGC